Long non-coding RNA from Eupeodes corollae, 940 nucleotides. RefSeq lists it as uncharacterized. The transcript has 2 exons. Lineage: Eukaryota; Metazoa; Arthropoda; Insecta; Diptera; Syrphidae. The record is from RefSeq and is a predicted model, not a curated record.
CUGCUGACAUUAUUUGGAUCUACAUUUGCUUGCGAAUCUUCGUUUUCCAGAAUUAAAUAUGCAAAAAAUAUUAACAACCGAAACAAGCUUACGGACUUCAACCUAGAUGAUGUCAUUAGGUUGGCAUGCAGCAACAAGCGAGUUUUGAAAAUGUGUUCUCAAUUUCAAAAUUUCAAGCUAGAAAAAAAACCUGCUAUAGGCAAAACAAUAUAACAAAAUAUUGAAGUAUUCAACUAAAACUAUUUAUAAAAAAAACUAUUUUGUCAUUUUGUGUGUUGUUAUAAAUUUUUGUUUUCAAAAUUAAAGCUCGAAUUUUUUUAAAGAAGAAUUUUUUUUAAACUAUGGCAGUAGCAGUUCAUUUGGUUGAAGUGCUUACGCUUAUUUCAAUUCUUGGAAUCUUAUUAGGACUAUCAGCAGUUAUCGCAUGUACGGCAAAAAUAUUCUUUUUAUCCCUUUAUAUGCUCAGAAUGGCCGUAAAUUGGGUUGGAUUUGUAUUGCAUAGCUCUGAAAAAACGAUAUUUUUUACAAUUUUGAGUAUAUGUAAUAUUUCACCUGACUAUUUACCAAUUGAAAAAGAAGAAACUCAAGUUUUAAAAACAUGCAUGUGUAAUUCCUGAUAAACUUCCGAAAUUAUUCGUUUAUGUGCUUAGACUAGAAAACAAUCUUUGUAAAUGGUUUGGAAAACUUGCAAUGUUAAGAAUUUUCAAGCCAUAUAUAAAGCAUUGUAUUCUCAAGCAAUGAAGACAUGUAAAUUUAAGAUAGUAAAUUGAUUUUGUAAAAUAUUUAUGUAUGUAUGUAUGUAUGUGAAUCACAACUUGAUUUUAACCAAAUCAAAUUUUUAACAGCUUGUCAAAAAUAUUGACAUAUUUCUAAUUGUGUUAAAGGAUUGAUUUGGUUGGAGUUCAGUUUUUUAGUUCAAUAAAUAAAAUUUAAAAUGUAA